CAGAGGAUAGUUUUAAUUAGAAUCUUAGCUUUGGGAGUUAAGGGCGGGAGUUAAAAUCUCCCUUCUCUGA
RNAcentral lists this transfer RNA (70 nucleotides) under Notopterus notopterus (bronze featherback). Its description in RNAcentral is "tRNA-Pro". It matches the Rfam family "tRNA". Rfam says of the family: Transfer RNA (tRNA) molecules are approximately 80 nucleotides in length. Their secondary structure includes four short double-helical elements and three loops (D, anti-codon, and T loops). Further hydrogen bonds mediate the characteristic L-shaped molecular structure. tRNAs have two regions of fundamental functional importance: the anti-codon, which is responsible for specific mRNA codon recognition, and the 3' end, to which the tRNAs corresponding amino acid is attached (by aminoacyl-tRNA synthetases). tRNAs cope with the degeneracy of the genetic code in two manners: having more than one tRNA (with a specific anti-codon) for a particular amino acid; and 'wobble' base-pairing, i.e. permitting non-standard base-pairing at the 3rd anti-codon position. The record is from RNAcentral. Lineage: Eukaryota; Metazoa; Chordata; Actinopteri; Osteoglossiformes; Notopteridae.